RNAcentral lists this ribosomal RNA (678 nucleotides) under uncultured Gammaproteobacteria bacterium. Its description in RNAcentral is "bacterial SSU rRNA". It matches the Rfam family "Bacterial small subunit ribosomal RNA", at positions 774 to 1452 of the family's 1533-position model. The record is from RNAcentral. Lineage: Bacteria; Pseudomonadati; Pseudomonadota; Gammaproteobacteria.
AGGAUUAGAUACCCUGGUAGUCCACGCCGUAAACGAUGUCUACUUGGAGGUUGGUGUCUUGAACACUGGCUUUCGGAGCUAACGCGUUAAGUAGACCGCCUGGGGAGUACGGUCGCAAGAUUAAAACUCAAAUGAAUUGACGGGGGCCCGCACAAGCGGUGGAGCAUGUGGUUUAAUUCGAUGCAACGCGAAGAACCUUACCUACUCUUGACAUCCACGGAAUCCUGCAGAGAUGCGGGAGUGCCUUCGGGAACCGUGAGACAGGUGCUGCAUGGCUGUCGUCAGCUCGUGUUGUGAAAUGUUGGGUUAAGUCCCGCAACGAGCGCAACCCUUAUCCUUGUUUGCCAGCACUUCGGGUGGGAACUCCAGGGAGACUGCCGGUGAUAAACCGGAGGAAGGUGGGGACGACGUCAAGUCAUCAUGGCCCUUACGAGUAGGGCUACACACGUGCUACAAUGGCAUAUACAGAGGGCAGCAAGACCGCGAGGUGGAGCGAAUCCCACAAAGUAUGUCGUAGUCCGGAUUGGAGUCUGCAACUCGACUCCAUGAAGUCGGAAUCGCUAGUAAUCGUGGAUCAGAAUGCCACGGUGAAUACGUUCCCGGGCCUUGUACACACCGCCCGUCACACCAUGGGAGUGGGCUGCACCAGAAGUAGAUAGCUUAACCUUCGGGAGGGCG